Molecule: long non-coding RNA, 305 nt
Filed under: Gossypium raimondii (Peruvian cotton)
Lineage: Eukaryota; Viridiplantae; Streptophyta; Magnoliopsida; Malvales; Malvaceae
Description: long non-coding RNA (GRAI_LNC005666)
Source: RNAcentral
GUACCGAGAUUGAAUGGCAGGAUUGCGAUAGAAUUUCAAAAACAAGAAAAUAGAGGAUUUUGCUAGUCAACAGAAAAAGAACGUCAAAUUUUGAGAAUUUGGAAAAGAUGGAGAAGAAAAAAAUAAAACAAAAUAAAAAUAUAACAACAUAUCCCCCAGAUUCCUCCCCACUAACACUCAACUAUCUCAGAAUUUUUGUUUCACCCAACCUCUAACAAACACACGAAUCAAAAAUUUAUCACCCACGCUCACACAAGGACUCAAACAUAGGACCUCCAACACACUAACUCCUUACCACUCGAACC